CCUACGGGUGGCAGCAGUGAGGAAUAUUGGUCAAUGGACGAGAGUCUGAACCAGCCAAGUAGCGUGAAGGAUGACUGCCCUAUGGGUUGUAAACUUCUUUUAUAAAGGAAUAAAACGAGGUAUGCAUGCCCUUUUGCAUGUACUUUAUGAAUAAGGAUCGGCUAACUCCGUGCCAGCAGCCGCGGUAAUACGGAGGAUCCGAGCGUUAUCCGGAUUUAUUGGGUUUAAAGGGAGCGUAGGUGGAUUGUUAAGUCAGUUGUGAAAGUUUGCGGCUCAACCGUAAAAUUGCAAUUGAUACUGGCAGUCUUGAGUACAGUAGAGGUAGGCGGAAUUCGUGGUGUAGCGGUGAAAUGCUUAGAUAUCACGAAGAACCCCGAUUGCGAAGGCAGCUUACUGGACUGCAACUGACAUUGAUGCUCGAAAGUGUGGGUAUCAAACAGGAUUAGAUAUCCGGGUAGUC
RNAcentral lists this ribosomal RNA (460 nucleotides) under uncultured bacterium. Its description in RNAcentral is "partial 16S ribosomal RNA". It matches the Rfam family "Bacterial small subunit ribosomal RNA", at positions 338 to 795 of the family's 1533-position model. The record is from RNAcentral.